GCGAGAGUGGCUGAAUCGGAUCGACUGCUAAUCGAUUGUGGGUCAAAAAACCUACCGAGGGUUCGAAUCCCUCC
Molecule: transfer RNA, 74 nt
Filed under: Gemmatimonadota bacterium
Lineage: Bacteria; Pseudomonadati; Gemmatimonadota
Description: Gemmatimonadetes bacterium tRNA-Ser
Rfam family: tRNA
About the family: Transfer RNA (tRNA) molecules are approximately 80 nucleotides in length. Their secondary structure includes four short double-helical elements and three loops (D, anti-codon, and T loops).
Source: RNAcentral